GAUGAACGCUGGCGGCGUGCCUAAUACAUGCAAGUCGAGCGAACAGACGAGGAGCUUGCUCCUCUGACGUUAGCGGCGGACGGGUGAGUAACACGUGGAUAACCUACCUAUAAGACUGGGAUAACUUCGGGAAACCGGAGCUAAUACCGGAUAAUAUAUUGAACCGCAUGGUUCAAUAGUGAAAGACGGUUUUGCUGUCACUUAUAGAUGGAUCCGCGCCGCAUUAGCUAGUUGGUAAGGUAACGGCUUACCAAGGUAACGAUGCGUAGCCGACCUGAGAGGGGGAUAGGCCACACUGGAACGGAGACACGGUCCAGACGCCUACGGGAGGCAGCAGUAGGGAAUCUGCCGCAAUGGGCGAAAGCCUGACGGAGCAACGCCGCGUGAGUGAUGAAGGUCUUCGGAUCGUAAAACUCUGUUAUUAGGGAAGAACAAAUGUGUAAGUAACUAUGCACGUCUUGACGGUACCUAAUCAGAAAGCCACGGCUAACUACGUG
RNAcentral lists this ribosomal RNA (497 nucleotides) under uncultured bacterium. Its description in RNAcentral is "partial 16S ribosomal RNA". It matches the Rfam family "Bacterial small subunit ribosomal RNA", at positions 28 to 507 of the family's 1533-position model. The record is from RNAcentral.